UCGCUACUACCGAUUGGAUGGUUUAGUGAGGCUCACGGACUGUGGUGACCGGUAACUUGUUACUGGACGCAUGCAGGAAGUGAAACAAACUUGAUCAUCUAGAGGAAGUAA
RNAcentral lists this ribosomal RNA (111 nucleotides) under uncultured eukaryote. Its description in RNAcentral is "partial small subunit ribosomal RNA". It matches the Rfam family "Eukaryotic small subunit ribosomal RNA", at positions 1676 to 1785 of the family's 1831-position model. The record is from RNAcentral.